GGACGAACGCUGGCGGCGUGCUUAACACAUGCAAGUCAAGGAGAACGUUUCCUUCGGGGAAUUAUUAAACUGGCGAACGGGUGAGUAACGCGUAGGCAACCUGCCUUAGAGAUUGGGAUAACCCCGCGAAAGCGGAGCUAAAACCGAAUAAUGCAGCGGUCCCUUCGGGGAACAGUUGUUAAAGCGGGCUUCGGCUCGUACUUUAAGAUGGGCCUGCGUUCGAUUAGCUUGUUGGUAAGGUAACGGCUUACCAAGGCGAUGAUCGAUAGCUGAUUUGAGAGGAUGAUCAGCCACACUGGGAUUGAGAUACGGCCCAGACUCCUACGGGAGGCAGCAGUGGGGAAUUUUGCGCAAUGGGCGAAAGCCUGACGCAGCAACGCCGCGUGAUCGAUGAAGCUUCUAGGAGCGUAAAGAUCUGUCGUAAGGGAAGAAAAGUUCGGAUGUAAAUAGCAUUCGUUCUAGACGGUACCUUACAAGAAAGCACCGGCUAACUUCGUGCCAGCAGCCGCGGUAAUACGAGGGGUGCUAGCGUUGUCCGGAAUUAUUGGGCGUAAAGGGUUCGUAGGCGUUUUGACAAGUCAAUUGUUAAAUACAUCGGCUUAACCGAUGAAAUGCAUUUGAAACUGUCGAAAUAGAGUAUAGGAGAGGAAAGCGGAAUUCCUGGUGUAGCGGUGACAUGCGUAGAUAUCUGGAAGAACACCAGUGGCGAAGGCGGCUUUCUGGCCUGAUACUGACGCUGACGCGCGAAAGCUAGGGGAGCAAACAGGAUUAGAUACCCUGGUAGUCCUAGCCGUAAACGUUGGGCACUAGGUGUUGGGGGUAUCGACCCCCUCAGUGCCGAAGCUAACGCAUUAAGUGCCCCGCCUGGGGAGUACGACCGCAAGGUUGAAACUCAAAGGAAUUGACGGGGGCCUGCACAAGCGGUGGAGCAUGUGGUUUAAUUCGAUGCAACGCGAAGAACCUUACCUGGGUUUGACAUGUACUUGAAAGCCGUAGAGAUACGGCCCCUCUUCGGAGCGGGUACACAGGUGCUGCAUGGCUGUCGUCAGCUCGUGUCGUGAGAUGUUGGGUUAAGUCCCGCAACGAGCGCAACCCUCGCCCUUAGUUGCCAGCAGGUGAAGCUGGGCACUCUAGGGGGACUGCCGAUGAUAAAUCGGAGGAAGGCGGGGAUGAUGUCAAGUCCUCAUGGCCUUUAUAUCCAGGGCUACACACGUGCUACAAUGGCCGGUAUAAUGGGUUACAAUACCGCGAGGUGGAGUUAAUCUCUAAAAGCCGGUCUCAGUUCGGAUUGCAGUCUGCAACUCGACUGCAUGAAGGUGGAAUCGCUAGUAAUCGCGGAUCAGCAUGCCGCGGUGAAUAUGUUCCCAGGCCUUGUACACACCGC
This 1384-nucleotide ribosomal RNA is filed under the name uncultured bacterium. Its description in RNAcentral is "16S ribosomal RNA". It matches the Rfam family "Bacterial small subunit ribosomal RNA", at positions 27 to 1393 of the family's 1533-position model. The record is from RNAcentral.